CUGAACCUGCAUGUUUCAUCUGCUUACAAAUCUGCACACAGUACUAUUCUGCUAAAAAGGACAAUUGCAGCAAAGAAAAAGACAACUGACUCUUUGCAAACAACCCUAAAAGCAUCCUGCCAAAGAGGCCAAAAUGAACAUGCAUAUAUCUAUAAAGUGUUACUUGUCAAUGCAAAUGCUGCUUCUAGAAAAAAAUUUAAUUGCAUAGGUUAAAACAAAAAACAUUGUGCAAUAUUUUAAGCCAUUAAAGCAUCAAAAUAAAAAACCCCAGCAAAAUCACCGUUUUAUGACGAUUAACACACAAACAUGAAAUAUCGAUCAAAAAUCAGGACGUAAAUACCUGGACUGAUACAAUGUCCAUUGUUGGGAGAAUUUUUCUUCAGUUUAGAUGUAUUUUCUCAUCUGUAACUAAAUCUUUUUUUUGGUACCGGGGGUUGAACUUGGGUCCUCGCACUUGCGCAGGCGAAACCACUGAGCUAAAUCCCCAGCCCUAUAACUAAAUCUUAAAGAGCUAACUUUAUAUAAAGUAGGCAAAUUCAAGUAAUUUGCUCUUAAGCCAAUUUUUAUAGAGCUAAACAAGGAACUAAUGAUAAAUGAAACAGAACAGGCAUGGAGAAAAACUGAGAAACUGUAGCUGGACUGAGCAACAGAUGCUUUUAUGCCAUCUGGGGCUUCUCCUUUCAAGGGAAUACAUAAGCUAACAGAUUCAGGCCUGCUGGUUUUAGUAUACUAAUUCCCUUGGAUUUUGAGGUUUGCUAAAAUUUGUACAUCAACAAGCACACAAGAAGUCCUAAGGAAAGGAUUCCACUUAAAAGGGUCAACAUUGAACACUAAUUAAAGCAGUCUUAAAAAGUUGUCUACCACUAUAAACCCAUACAAAAUGUAACAGCUCUCACAAGCCAAAAACUGUAACCUCGUCCUAAGUUUAAUCACUCCUUCCUUUUAGCUGUUUUUCAAGGAAGUACACAUUAACUAAAUGGCAAUUGAAGUGUUUGCUGUAUUCUUUUUCCUUUCUAAAAGAGCAAUCACAGAAAAUACAAACAAAAUCUCCCUCAGCCACUUUGCCUUUGCAUUUUUUGUACUAGUUUCUUGGGGAACCACCUGAGCCCCAUGCAAUCCAGAAUCAUCACUACCCUCUGGCAUGUCACUUAGGUCACUCCCACUGUGACUGUCGAUGCCUUCAUCCUCAUCAGUUUCCUGAGACUCUUACUGUCACACUAAUAGGAGCAGAAGCCGGUGGUUUUGGACACUGCUUCACAUUCUUCCACUGGUGGGGAGAAAAGUGAUGGUGAAGCAGGUUCUUGAACCGCUGCAUCUUUACCUGGAAGAUUCUCUGUUGUGCCCUCAUCAGUGAUUGUUUCCUUUUCACAAAGCUCAUCUGAGUUAGCCUGAUGUUUAUCAUCUGAAGUUUCACUCUCUGGGAUGCUUAACUUGGAGACAGAAGCCAAAACACUGAAGCUGAUUCUUGGAAUCAGCUUGAUCAGCUACAGUACACUUUUAUCUGUCUCAUCUGCUCCCUCUUUCUGCAGGGGUCCUGCUUCAGAGAGUGAGUUUUGAUCUUUUGACUUCUUUCUCCUUUGGCAGUGGUGACGAUGGUGCUAAGAGGUCCUCUGCAUCUGUACUCUCCUUUAGAAGCUGACUGUUUUUGCCAAGCACUAAGCCAACUUCAAUGAGAACUCACUCCUUGCAUGCCAUUUUGCUUUGCAUGUUGGACUUUUCCUUUUCACUAUCUUUUGGGGGACUGGCUCGAUGUGAAAAGAAGGCUGUACUGGAGGGGGCAGCUCCAUGUAUGCAGAUCCCUUCUGAGCAGGCUCUGUGAGAGAAGGCAGCUCAUGAACAACCUCCAUGGGGGCUGGCUCCACAGCAUGAGCCUCCUCAACAGCCUGAAGGGGAGCAGGCUCCAGAGGAGGAGGCCCUAUCCACGCAGGCCCCUUUGGAGCAGCCUCCUUCUGAGGUGGCUUUCUGAGCAAGCUUUCUGCUUUUCUUUAGUUUUCAGAACUUUCUUUUUUGUACUUUCUUUUCACACAGGCUCUUUGCUUUUUAUUCUCCUCCUUAUUCUUGUCCACUUUGCUGUCACCCUUUGGCACCUCCUGAUCAUUUUUGGAUUUGCUUUCUUCUACCUUCUUUUUCAUUACAGGCUCCUUAUCAUUCACAGGCUCAUGCAAGGAUUGGGCUUUAGCAUCCAGCUUCCUUUUGCUUUUCUUGGUUUUACAGGGCUUUUCUGAAUUUCUUCCUAUAUGCACAUUGAUCUAUUAUCUUUGUAGCUGAUUUGUGAGUUCUUGUAGUCAUUUGGAUCCCCGAGACACAUUGCCACAAGGCCUUUUCUCUUUUGAAACAUCUUUUUUCUCCACUUCUACAGACUUAUUUUUCUUUCCAGCCACAUCCCCCUUUGUUUUUGUCUGUUCUGUUUUUUUCAUCAGUAAUACUGUUAUCAGGCAAGUCAACCUCUCACUUUUUGGUUUUCUUUAGUUUCACUUUUGAGACAUCUAUUGUUUUAUUAAGACAAGUAGGAUGACUGCAUUUAAAAUGAUACUGGAGAUUACAGUUCUUAGAAGGUGCAUAGGCACUUGCAGGGCAAUGGAAGCCAUGGGUUAAAAUGCAGCCCUAGGAGUUUUUUGAAAUUGCUUCUAUCUCCUGUUUUAUAGUCAGAGAGAGGGCAAUUAAGAGGUUUAGGACCACUAUGAACCUGUCUUGCACGGAGAGUUACUUCGUGCUGAUUAGAGGCCACUUAGCUGCACUGAUCACACUUAAAUGGCUUCUCACACAUCCAGAUCACACUCUGGUACAUAUUACCAAAUGGUACCCAUACCCCACUGAAUAAGCAUGCAUAUGUCUAGUUAGAUCAGUCUUCUGAGAAUUUGAGUAAGGAUAAAGUUCACAUUUAUAUGAGAGUUCUCCUGUAUGAAUCCAAACAUGCUGGACAUAAUUAUUUUUUCUGUCUUAAAAACUAGUUGCCCUUGCCACGUGUACACUUUCCUUGGAAAGUGGUUUUUCAGUUGUUUCCUCCAGUGAUACUCUCUGACUGGUGUGUAUGUGCAAAUGAUGCAUUUGUACACUCCUCCUUACCCUGGCUUUGGUGUGGUGCUUCAGGUGAGUAGUGUAAUAUACCAAUUGGUGUCAUAGCCACAGUGGUCACAGCGGAUGGGGCCCUUUGAGAAAUCUCUCACCAGCAGAAGAGCCAGACUCCCUGGUUUUGGCUUGCUUCUCUGCACUUUCUUCCACAAAAAACUUCUUGGCACUGUGAACUCUGAUAUGAACAACAAACUGUUGUUCAAAUUCUAAUCAUACUGGCAUGGCUUACAGGGAAAGGGUUUGGUCUCCAAGUUCUUGCAUUUGUCCUCUGCUGCAGGUGUUUCAUGAGGAAGAUCUUUAUUUGAGCUGUAAAUCCCAGAGGGAGCUUAUGCCUCAAAUACAGGCUUCUGGCACCAGGGAUUUAGCUCAGUGGCACUGCGCCUGCCUCGAAAGCGCAAGGUCCUGAGUUUGCUCCCCUCACCACAAACAAACAAAAACCAGGCAGCGGUUCUAAACCACUGAGCUCCAAAUUCCUCAGUUUCAUGUUCUCCAGUCCAUUAGGUUCACCUUUUAUUUCAGAACACUCCUCCAGUCCUUCUCCAUCACUAUCCGAGAAGUUGUUAUCCCCAACAGGCAUCCUUUCUGCCAUUUGCCUUUCUUUACCAAUCAGAUAAUCUAAGUAGCAGACUGUUGUGCCCAGAUCGCGAAGUCCCCAAAGACCACCAAGGAGCCGAUUCCGAUGUAAACACACUAGGGUCGUUUACUCAAGCUCGAGCAGGGCCACUCAACCGUCACCGACACAGCGGAUCAGGAUUGAGAGCCCCGAAUUUCAAAUCAGCAGGGUUUUUAUUGUGGCUACAGCAAGUUAGGGCCACAUUCGCCUUGAUCAGCCAAGGCGCCGCCACUUCAGCUCCGAAGAGGUCCUGCAAGUCAUACUUGUCGUUAGGCAAGGCUAUGCCGCUGCUGCAGCUACCGGCGAACAGCCCUGCUCCUCCAGACGCCUAACCCAUCACGUGGGUGCCACUGUACCCAGCCUUCCUUGGCGCGGAGGGCAGCGCCGCUCCUUCUCCGACUAUCUGCUGUGAAUACGUCACUCGCCUUGUGAAAGAAGCUGGUGGUCUUCAAUGGGAGAUUGAAAUUAACAAGCAGAGAGGAGCAAAACAUGAAGAGGGAGAGCCUUGCUUUUAACUUGUCUUUGUGGUCAUUUGCACUUCUGCCUUCCUCAUGGUUUGGUUUUAAGAAUGAAUCCUGUUUUGGACGGUUGAGUUUGAGUUGCAUUUCUGUCACUUGCAUUCACAAAAGCCUUGACACAUACCCAAUGGUGAUUUGAGGUUCAUUCGAGUAUUUAGCCUGUGUUAGGUACUGUUACAAACUCGUAGCAUAUAUUCAAUUUUUUUUUUUUUUUUUUUGGUACCGGGGAUCGAACUCAGGUCCUUGCGCUUGUGAGGCAGGCGGUGGAACCAUUGAGCUAAAUCCCCGGCCCCUUGUAGCAUAUAUUAAUUGAUUUAAUACAACCAACUAUGAGAGAUAUAUUGCAUGUUUAUCCCUCGUUUACUAAUGAGCACAGAGAAGUUAAACAGCCCAGUCAAGGUCACACAGCCAGGAAGCAGAAAAACUUAGGAUUUGAAUCUUGGAGAUCUGACUCGAGUCUGUGGAUCCUGCCCCAUGCUCAACCACCUAAGCAGCAGUCUGAUUAAACAAGUAGGCCUUAGGAGAGUGCUCUGAACUUGAAGUAGAGAUCUGCAUCUAUUAAGUUGUAGUUGAAAUUACAAAAGUAGAUACACGAGACAGUGGAGUAGGUCUAGAAAAGGACUUGGAUAACUGAGGAGCCAAGGAUAAGAGGGAGAAGAGCCCACCAGGAAGUCAGAGUCUCUCUGUAGAGAAAUCCUACUUCUGCCUACUGCAGCCUUUACAUGCUUCCAUUCUCAGGAAUGCAAAAAAACCUCAAUACAGUAUAUAUUUGGUCAAGAUCAAGUGGUUGGACUUUAAAGGCCUGGUUCCUGGUUUUGUGCUUAUGGAUUGUUGGUUGUAUUAACAAAAAGAGAAGCGAUUUUGGAGUUUCAGCUCAGACUCUUAAAGUCUCAGACUUUGAACUAUUUACUAAAUAUAUUGAGGCUUCUCUUUUCAAAAUAGGCAUAAUAAUAUCUCAACUGGGCACUGCUAUCUUUAAUAAUGUAAAUGCUUAUGUGUUUGUUAUUUUUAAAAUUUUAAGAAUUUUUAUUAGUACAUGUUUACAGGGCAUAAUGCUUACAUUUAUCAUGAGGAGUUGGUACAUGUACAUAACACAUCUUAAUUCUAUUUACUUAAGUUAUAUGGCUUUGAUAAAGAGAAAAAGUAUUAACUAUGUGGAUUAGAGGCCAGUAUAGUUAUUCAUAGUAACUUCUUUUUCACUUAGGUGUACUUUCUGCCAUCACAGAGAUAGUUUACAAGUAUGUUUUGGUUGUUAAGUAAGGUUCUCCAUUUGGUAAAAAUCUAGGUGUACGUAAGAACAAUGUAAAUUUAUUAAAGAGCAUGAAAACUUUCCUAGUCUUGAAUGAAACUUACAUUUGAAGAUCAAACAUGCUUGCUAUAAAACUGCUUCCACCUUUUGUCACAUGGACAGUGCAUAAAGUAAUAAGCUGUACUAAAAAACUAAAGACCACUUAAUAACAGAAAAUAUAAAAAUGUAUUUCAAGGUGACAUUUUGACAGCAUUUACCUUUUAGUACUUUUCCAGUGUCAAGAUGAGGUUCAGGAGACUUAGGUCAGCAAGUUACUGCUGACUGAUGUCUUCCAAUGAAAAGACAGAUCUAUACAGAGAGAAUGCCAUGUGAACACUGAAGUUAUAUUGUCAGCAGCCAAGAACACCAAGAUUGCUGACAAACUCCAGAAACUUGUGGCAUAGAAUCCAUGUGCCCUCAGAACUCCCAGGAGGAAACAAGCCUGUUCAACACCUUGCUCUUGGAAUUCUAACCUCCAGAACUGUAAUAUAGUACAUUUCUGAUUAAGCCUUCUAGUUUGUGAUAUUUUGUUACUGCAGCCUUAUCAAACUAAUACACUGUAAAAAGAAUAUGGGCUUUGACAUCUAGAUGUUAAUUUGUGUUCUGCUGCACACUAUCUUUUUGACUUCUGACAAGUCAUUUCAACAUUCUUAUACUUAGCUAAAAUUCAGUUUAGAAUAAUAACUUUUAUUCUGGGAAUUAAACAAGCUUCAAAAUGUAUAAAUUGAUAGCCCUCAAAACUUGAUACUUUCUCUUUGAUAACUUAUAAUGCAUUUGAUUAUUUUAAGUGACUUUUGUGGAAUCCUAAAUAUAUCAAAGAAAAAAUUACUACCAUCCACAGUAUCUUAAGGUCAUCGAAACUCUGGGUGCUAUAUUGCAAAAUAAAAUCAUAUAGUAGAAUGUUAGUUGAGUAUGAUAUUGUGGUUUACAAAGCUAUCUCCUAACACCACCAGUAGAAUGUCUUGUGCAAUAUUUUUGCUAAAUUGUUACUAGAAUGUCAUAACCUCCAAAUCUGAAGAAAAUUAUUUAAGGUAAGGAGUCAAGCAUCAUUUCCUUACUUCAUCUUACAGAAUUAUUUCAAAUCAUAAGCUUUCUAAAAAUAAUAAAGUAGAAUUAACUUCACGUUUAUUGUACAUUUUAAGUUAUUUGAAUCACCAACUGUUCCAUUUUUUCUCGUGCAACAAACAUAUUAGUGCUUUUAAAAUCUGAGUCUUUAUUUUUUUUAAGGAAAGAGCAAGAAUGUUGACCCAUAUAGAAGAAAAAUGGUUUCAUGUUCUUGAUUUACUCUAGGUGAGUUUUCAAGAUGCAGUUGUUUGUAAAGCGGAAAC
This is a non-coding RNA of Heterocephalus glaber (naked mole-rat), 6819 nucleotides long. The record is from RefSeq and is a predicted model, not a curated record. NCBI's taxonomy places the organism in Eukaryota, Metazoa, Chordata, Mammalia, Rodentia, Bathyergidae.